This is a long non-coding RNA of Athalia rosae (coleseed sawfly), 406 nucleotides long. RefSeq lists it as uncharacterized. Lineage: Eukaryota; Metazoa; Arthropoda; Insecta; Hymenoptera; Athaliidae. The transcript has 3 exons. The record is from RefSeq and is a predicted model, not a curated record.
GCAUCGCUUCCCAUGUGAGGCGCCGCCGGUGACCGUUCAAUUCCAAUCUAAAAGAGAAAUUAAUGAUUCAGAGAGGAUGAUUCACUGACCACUCUCGAUGUUUUUAUGGCAAUGAAGAUAAAAUUUUACCCUCCUCACCUAACGAGCAUAAAGUGGUGCCCGAAACACGACUGCAUCAUUACCCAGUCUACAGCUCCUGAGAGAUUGAUGUCCGUGGCCAAAAAUACAAUAUCCUCUCCUGGGGUUUGAAAUGUGAAACAAGUUGAGGCUCCUGGACAGGGACAACUGUAAGGUCGAAACUCACAGGCAUCCUCGUGAUCUGCUUUUUCUGUGUGAACCAGAGAUACGGUGCAGCCACUGGUCGAAUACUUGCAAGGAAACAUUACAUUGCUGGCCACUUUUUCCA